UAAACAAAAAUAAAAUAAAACAAAACAAAAAAUAAAAAAAACCCACAAAUAAGCAAGUUUAUCUUCAAAGAACUCACCUUGCAUAUUCUAGUGACGUUGUUGCUCAAGCCAUUUGGGGAACUAUUCUUUUAGAAUUGCCCAGCAGAGCCCGUAGCAUGUUAUUUUGGCUCUCUUUUGUGGUUACAAUGUUUGUAGCAGGUGGAUUUUACUUUUAGAGCACAAAGUCAUGGACAACUAAGCAUACUCGGUAAGGUGGCUAAUUGAAUUGAACCAGAAAUUUGGACUCCACAGUAACAGCCACACACAUACAUGCACAGGCACAUACAUGUGCACACAUGCACACACACUAGGUUGCUUUUUCUGCACAUUUCCUAGAUUAAACCAGAAAACAACUCUAAAAUUAGAGCCAUCAAUAUUUUUAAGUGGUAACACAGUUGAAUGAGAGAAUAAUCUUCAAUGGUAACAUCAUUAAAGAUAAAAAUAUUGAAAUGAGAAAUAUAAGUUCUACCAUAUUUGUUUAAAAGUGUAUCCAGCUAUUUGAUAAUGAUGUUUAAUUCCAAAGUUAAUUGUGAUAAUUCUAAAUUCAAAGUUUUAUCCAUAUUGCAGAUUUUCCCAUGGGAGGUUCUAGUAACAAAGUGGGGUAUAUGUUGAAAGAAGAGGUCGUCACCUUGGUUUUAAGCUUCUUAUUGAGUACCUAAUGAGUUUCUGGUCUCAUUGGCACCAUAUGUUAAACUCAAUGAAUAGCAAGGGUAUCUAUGCUGGUUGUAGCCAUCCUCUGAAUGCUAAUGAUUCAUGUUUCUUAAAGUUUAGAAAAAUCAUUUUACUUUUGAUUUGCUAGACUUCCCCCCAUUUUAUCUGUAUUCAAAAGGGGUGUUGGAUUGACAACACCAAAGCUCUCCUUGAUGCCAAAAAGUAAGUAUACAGAACUGAGCUAGAACAUCCAUGAAACUACUUAGCUAUGCCUGCAGGCAACGGGGAGAAACCCCGAAGGACCUAACUCUACUACCUUGUAGACAGUGUAGAUGAAGCAGCUUCCAUUGUGAACUCCUUGACAUGCUAUGUGGCUUCUGACACCCCCCCAUGCCUCAGUUUCCUCAACUGCCAAAUGGGCACAGAAGGACAAAUACUUGUCUCACAAGGCAUGGCAAAGUUGAAACACAGUGGUGCUCAGCACAAUGUGUGGCACAUAUUAAAGCAUUCAAAUAAUGGUGACAUUGCCAUCAUCGUCAUCACCCGUCAUUAUCAUUGUCUUUAUAACCCUUUCAGCACCCGCCACAGUGCCUAUUUCAUAAAAGCACAAUAAAUGUUCUCUCAUAUUACUGUCAUCCUUGUAUCCUUUUCAUCACUUAGCACAGAGCUUGGCAUGCAGCCAGUAUUCAAUAGAUGAAUAUGAAGCAAGGGCAAGAAUCCACUUUUAACAAUGUGCUUGCCAGACAUAACUGAUAUUGGAUAUUCAGAAAAGUGACAUUGAACAUUAUUUUUCUAAUUAAUUAAAACCUUCCUAUUCUUCUAGUAUGUGCUCUAAGAGAGAGGCAGUAGAGUGUGGUUACAAGUACAGAUGUGAGAGCCAGACUAUCCGGGUGCAAAUCCCGGUUCUGCUGCUUGUUUGCUAUGGAGUCUGGGAUAAUUUCCCUAUUCUCUCUGUGCCUCAGUUUCUUCAUCUGUAAGAUAAUAGUUCCUUCUUUACAGGGUUGUUUGAAGUAUUAGAGAGUUUAUACAUGUAAGAGAUUAGAAUAUACCAGGCAAAUACCAAGUGUCAUAUAAGUAUAUGCCCAGGAAGAGAAGAACUUUAAAAAGAGUUGAGGCAGAGCCCUCCUUCUCAGAGAAGCUCUCAAGUCCUCAAGGAUCCAGGUAUGCCCACAAGCCAUGCAAGAGUAUGAAGGAAAAAUCAAUUGUAUGUGACGAACUGAGAGCAGAAGCCAUGAUAUGCUGAGACAGGUUUGACAACCAGCUCUCUGGGAGAACAAAGCUGGAUUUGUAGCUUCACCAAUUGCUGUGGUGUAAGUACUCCUGCCAUGGCUGACUUCAAGCCACCCCUGUGACUUCCCUGAAUGUGAAGCUGAGAAAAGAUACAAAACAUGCAUACAAUUGGUUCUUGCAGGCUGAUAUGAGCAGGCUGCGGGAUACUACUGGGUGGAAACUUCAACAAUCCAAGGGAGAACACCGUGGACUGAAGAUACAAGUACAUGGUAAGAUCAACUUCCUGACCUUGUGACAGAUCCUGCCAGUAACACGAGAGGAAAUGAGAAUGAGGCUUUGGAGCACAACAUUGGAUUGCUCGUGCAGAACACUGCCCAGUGUCCUUUUCCUUUGCCAUAAUGAACAGCUGUGCUGCAGGUGAUGGCUGCUCUGUCAAUGUGGAUCCUGCAGAUGACAUGGCAUGGAUCCCCCAGCAGACCAUGAGAGAGCAAACAAAAAGUCCAUAUGUGUUGUGCUAAUCCACUGAGAUUGUGUUGGUUGUUAUGGAGCCUAACCUAGCCUAUCCAGACACGAGGAUCAGACAUGAGAAUCAAAUGUGUUUAUAAAGAGUUGGAUGGAAAUACUCUGACAGCAUUAAAAGACUCUCCCCAAGG
Non-coding RNA from Chlorocebus sabaeus (green monkey), 2573 nucleotides. The record is from RefSeq and is a predicted model, not a curated record. Lineage: Eukaryota; Metazoa; Chordata; Mammalia; Primates; Cercopithecidae.